This 1010-nucleotide ribosomal RNA is filed under the name Enterococcus faecium. RNAcentral describes it as "bacterial SSU rRNA". It matches the Rfam family "Bacterial small subunit ribosomal RNA", at positions 60 to 1040 of the family's 1533-position model. Lineage: Bacteria; Bacillati; Bacillota; Bacilli; Lactobacillales; Enterococcaceae. The record is from RNAcentral.
AGUCGAACGCUUCUUUUUCCACCGGAGCUUGCUCCACCGGAAAAAGAAGAGUGGCGAACGGGUGAGUAACACGUGGGUAACCUGCCCAUCAGAAGGGGAUAACACUUGGAAACAGGUGCUAAUACCGUAUAACAAUCAAAACCGCAUGGUUUUGAUUUGAAAGGCGCUUUCGGGUGUCGCUGAUGGAUGGACCCGCGGUGCAUUAGCUAGUUGGUGAGGUAACGGCUCACCAAGGCCACGAUGCAUAGCCGACCUGAGAGGGUGAUCGGCCACAUUGGGACUGAGACACGGCCCAAACUCCUACGGGAGGCAGCAGUAGGGAAUCUUCGGCAAUGGACGAAAGUCUGACCGAGCAACGCCGCGUGAGUGAAGAAGGUUUUCGGAUCGUAAAACUCUGUUGUUAGAGAAGAACAAGGAUGAGAGUAACUGUUCAUCCCUUGACGGUAUCUAACCAGAAAGCCACGGCUAACUACGUGCCAGCAGCCGCGGUAAUACGUAGGUGGCAAGCGUUGUCCGGAUUUAUUGGGCGUAAAGCGAGCGCAGGCGGUUUCUUAAGUCUGAUGUGAAAGCCCCCGGCUCAACCGGGGAGGGUCAUUGGAAACUGGGAGACUUGAGUGCAGAAGAGGAGAGUGGAAUUCCAUGUGUAGCGGUGAAAUGCGUAGAUAUAUGGAGGAACACCAGUGGCGAAGGCGGCUCUCUGGUCUGUAACUGACGCUGAGGCUCGAAAGCGUGGGGAGCAAACAGGAUUAGAUACCCUGGUAGUCCACGCCGUAAACGAUGAGUGCUAAGUGUUGGAGGGUUUCCGCCCUUCAGUGCUGCAGCUAACGCAUUAAGCACUCCGCCUGGGGAGUACGACCGCAAGGUUGAAACUCAAAGGAAUUGACGGGGGCCCGCACAAGCGGUGGAGCAUGUGGUUUAAUUCGAAGCAACGCGAAGAACCUUACCAGGUCUUGACAUCCUUUGACCACUCUAGAGAUAGAGCUUCCCCUUCGGGGGCAAAGUGACAGGUG